GAAAGAUGAAAUUAAAAGAGCAUUUAAUGAAUUUGAGACUCCGAAUAGGCAGAUUAAAUGUUUAAGAAAUAAGCAACUCUACUACCAUCUUUUAGGAUUAUUUUAAAAGAUGUCUAGGAAGCCUGAUAUGGAAGACUGGGGCUAAGUUAUAAAGAUCCCUUUUCGGCGAGUGGCUCAACAAAAGGCCAUAUUCCCAUGAUUAUUUAUGAGCAUCAUAAGCUCCAGGCUACGCAUGCCUGAAGAGCAUUUUGGUAUUGGAAAAAAAGGUUCUUGCUCCUCGCCAAUAUAAUUUGUGGUCCUACAGGUCUCCCUUUUAGGCCAUUUAUACUUCCAGCAUUAUGUGGAAGAAAUUUCUUACAGCACAUACCAAUUCAACCAAGUGCCAACCGUUCGCCCCACAAGCCACAAUCAAAU
Molecule: unclassified non-coding RNA, 414 nt
Filed under: Hevea brasiliensis (rubber tree)
Lineage: Eukaryota; Viridiplantae; Streptophyta; Magnoliopsida; Malpighiales; Euphorbiaceae
Source: RNAcentral